RNAcentral lists this transfer RNA (74 nucleotides) under Crocinitomix sp. RNAcentral describes it as "tRNA-Arg". It matches the Rfam family "tRNA". From Rfam's summary of the family: Transfer RNA (tRNA) molecules are approximately 80 nucleotides in length. RNAcentral also lists the same sequence under 1 other name. The record is from RNAcentral. Lineage: Bacteria; Pseudomonadati; Bacteroidota; Flavobacteriia; Flavobacteriales; Crocinitomicaceae.
GGCCCUGUGGCGCAACUGAAUAGCGCAUCAGAUUUCGGCUCUGAGGGUUGGGGGUUUGAAUCCCUCCAGGGUCA